GUGUUCACUUCAGCAGCACACAUACUAAAACUGGAAUGAUACAGAGAAAAAUUAACAUGGCCCCCAUGCAAGGAUGACACGCAAAUUUGUGAAGUGUUAAAAAAAAAA
Small nuclear RNA from Diceros bicornis minor, 108 nucleotides. The record is from RefSeq and is a predicted model, not a curated record. Lineage: Eukaryota; Metazoa; Chordata; Mammalia; Perissodactyla; Rhinocerotidae.